GACGAACGCUGGCGGCGUGCUUAACACAUGCAAGUCGAACGGAAAGGCCCUGCUUUUGUGGGGUGCUCGGGUAGCGAACGGGUGAGUCACGAGUGAGUAGCCUGCCCUUGACUGUGGGAUAACUUCAAGCAACUGGGGUUACUACCGGGUCGCGCCUCCUGCUGCAUGGGGGGGGUUGGAUAGUUUGGGCGGGUGGGGGUGGACUCGCGGUUUACUAGCUUGUUGGUGGGGUAGUGGCCUACCAAGGCUUUGGCGGGUAGCCGGCCUGAGAGGGUGACCGGCCACAGUGGGAGUGAGAGACGGCCCAGACACCUACGGGAGGAAGCAGGGGGGAAGAUUGCAGAACGGGCGGAAGACGGAUGCAGGAACGCUGCGGGCGGGAUGACUGCCGUCGGGUUGUAAACCGCUGUCGCCUGGGAGGAAGCGUGAGUGACGGUAAUGGGAAAAGAAGCACCGGCUAACUACGUG
This 468-nucleotide ribosomal RNA is filed under the name uncultured bacterium. RNAcentral describes it as "partial 16S ribosomal RNA". It matches the Rfam family "Bacterial small subunit ribosomal RNA", at positions 28 to 507 of the family's 1533-position model. The record is from RNAcentral.